GACCCCGCACAAGCGGCGGAGCAUGCGGCUUAAUUCGAUGAUACCCGUAGAACCUUACCUGGACUUGACAUAUAGGGUCAAGCUAUAGAGAUAUAGUGUGCAUUAGCGCCCUAUACAGGUGGUGCAUGGCUGUCGUCAGCUCGUGUCGUGAGAUGUUGGUUAAGUCCUAUAACGAGCGCAACCCCUACCGUUAGUUGCCAGCGUGUAAUGACGGGGACUCUAACGGAACUGCCGGUGCAAACCGUGAGGAAGGUGGGGACGACGUCAAAUCAUCACGGCCCUUACGUCCUGGCCACACACGUGCUACAAUGGUAGGUACAGAGGGAAGCCACCCCGCGAGGGGGAGCG
Molecule: ribosomal RNA, 348 nt
Filed under: uncultured bacterium
Lineage: Bacteria
Description: bacterial SSU rRNA
Rfam family: Bacterial small subunit ribosomal RNA
Source: RNAcentral